ACCGAGUGCGGGCCCCUCGGGGCCCAACCUCCCACCCGUGUUGCCCGAACCUAUGUUGCCUCGGCGGGCCCCGCGCCCGCCGACGGCCCCCCUGAACGCUGUCUGAAGUUGCAGUCUGAGACCUAUAACGAAAUUAGUUAAAACUUUCAACAACGGAUCUCUUGGUUCCGGCAUCGAUGAAGAACGCAGCGAAAUGCGAUAACUAAUGUGAAUUGCAGAAUUCAGUGAAUCAUCGAGUCUUUGAACGCACAUUGCGCCCUCUGGUAUUCCGGAGGGCAUGCCUGUCCGAGCGUCAUUGCUGCCCUCAAGCCCGGCUUGUGUGUUGGGCCCCGUCCCCCCCGCCGGGGGGACGGGCCCGAAAGGCAGCGGCGGCACCGCGUCCGGUCCUCGAGCGUAUGGGGCUUCGUCACCCGCUCUAGUAGGCCCGGCCGGCGCCAGCCGACCCCCAACCUUUAAUUAUCUCAGGUUGACCUCGGAUCAGGUAGGGAUACCCGCUGAACUUAACCGUAUCAAUAACCGGAUGAAAAGAAACCAACCGGGAUUGCCCUAUUAACGACGAGUGAAGCGGCAAGAGCUCAAGUUUGAAAGCUGGCCCCCUCUGGGUCCGCGUUGUAAUUUGCAGAGGAUGCUUCGGGAACGGCCGUCAUCUAGUGCCCUGGACGGGUCGUCAUAUACGGAGAAAUCCCAUCUGGCAUAGGGUGAGCGCGCUGUGUGAACUCCUUCGAGAGUCUAUUCUUGUAAUGCAAUCUAAUGGUGGUAAUUUAGCUCAGCUAAUAUUACCGGAGACCGAUCGCCACAUUAGAUGAUCG
This 809-nucleotide small RNA is filed under the name Penicillium citrinum. RNAcentral describes it as "eukaryotic LSU rRNA". The stretch from base 142 to 295 matches the Rfam family "5.8S ribosomal RNA". Lineage: Eukaryota; Fungi; Ascomycota; Eurotiomycetes; Eurotiales; Aspergillaceae. The record is from RNAcentral.